GAGGAGAGGCAGACAGAAGAUCCCUCCUCCUUCUGUAUGCUCACUUUGGUCCUGUUCUUCUUCCUCUUAUCCAGGGUUGGGAGCCAGAAAAAGCUGAUUCCACCAGCAGCUGCACAUGGACCCAGUCAGCACCAGUGGACCCCGGGGGUCCUCCUUCCACGGCCAAUCCAUAAACAGAUUGACAUGAACUUGGCUGAUGUGUCCUCUCCAAGGCCUCUGGGACCAGAGAUGGGGCGUCAUUCUCCUGACUUCUUUUCCAGAUGGUUGAAUCAAAGGCAGGAAAUGAAAUGAGCCUGAAAAUAUGCUGUUUGGAAGAGCCCCAGGGUUCUGGAACAUCAAUGAUGGCUGGGCAAGAAUUGUUCUCUCCCGGGGAGUCAGGCUCUGUGGGACAGCCAGCGAGAAGAACAGAUCAUGCGAUGAGGAUGAAAUUGCUGCUGGACUCAGAUGCAUCUCUGUGGCUUUGGUUUCCAUCGGCCAGCAGCGCCGCAGCUCUAUUCAAGCGGCACACUGUGCUAUCUGGUAGGAGUGUGCCAGAAGAAUCGGCACUAAUGAACUCUUUCUGAUGAGCCGACGGCUGCGUUUGGCAAGCACACGUUAACAUGUGGAAUCAGGCAGAAGAAGAGCUCCGAAAAUGAUAAAAGGGCAGGAGUUCUGUUUUGCUGUAAAAAACUGCCGAAGAUGCACGGAAUAACUGGUACCCAGGAUGCAUUUUCAACAGUAGGAGACAUUUUAUCAGACAGAAUCAGGAAGAAGACUCAAGAGAAUAUGGUCAACAGCCCCAGAGAAGGAAGCAUCGAGAAUAGAAGAGCAUUGCCUCCUCAACCGUGGCCAGUCUGCCCACUUCACUGGGAGGGCUCUCCCUCAGAACCCCCAGUGGAGAACCGGUGCUUCCGGGUCCUGCCAGGAAAGCAACUCGCUCAGACGACUCUUUCCCACUUUCAGUCAUCAGCAGAAGCUAUCUUU
This is a long non-coding RNA of Alexandromys fortis (reed vole), 963 nucleotides long. RefSeq lists it as uncharacterized. Lineage: Eukaryota; Metazoa; Chordata; Mammalia; Rodentia; Cricetidae. The record is from RefSeq and is a predicted model, not a curated record. The transcript is spliced from 3 exons.